UACGUGAGCCCCAAGCGUUACCCGGAUUCACUGGGCGUAAAGGGUGUGUAGGCUGCUCUGUUAGUCGCCUGUUAAAGACCGGGGCUCAACCCCGGAAAGGCGGGCGAAACGGCAGAGCUAGAGGGCGCGAGAGGUCUGCGGAACUCAUGGUGUAGGGGUGAAAUCCGUUGAUAUCAUGGGGAACACCGAAAGCGAAGGCAGCAGACUGGCGCGUUCCUGACGCUCAGACACGAAAGCCAGGGUAGCGAACGGG
This 253-nucleotide unclassified non-coding RNA is filed under the name uncultured Parcubacteria group bacterium. RNAcentral's name for it is "contains 16S-23S intergenic spacer region". It matches the Rfam family "Bacterial small subunit ribosomal RNA", at positions 524 to 776 of the family's 1533-position model. The record is from RNAcentral.